UAUGGAAGCUUGCUUCCACUGAGAAGAUAGUGGCGAACCGGGUGAGUAACGAACCGUGGGGUAACCUGCCCAUAAGAGGGGGAUAACAUCCGGAAACGGGUGCUAAUACCGCAUAGUUUUCUUGAUCGCAUGAUCGGGAAAGGAAAGACGGCCUUUGUGCUGUCGCUUAUGGAUGGACCCGCGGCGUAUUAGUUAGUUGGUGAGGUAACGGCUCACCAAGACGAUGAUACGUAGCCGACCUGAGAGGGUGAUCGGCCACAUUGGGACUGAGACACGGCCCAAACUCCUACGGGAGGCAGCAGUAGGGAAUCUUCCGCAAUGGACGAAAGUCUGACGGAGCAACGCCGCGUGAGUGAAGAAAGGUUUUCGGAUCGUAAAACUCUGUUGUCAGAGAAGAACAAGUUGGAGAGUAACUGCUCCAGCCUUGACGGUAUCUGACCAGAAAGCCACGGCUAACUACGUGCCAGCCGCCGC
This 474-nucleotide ribosomal RNA is filed under the name uncultured bacterium. RNAcentral's name for it is "bacterial SSU rRNA". It matches the Rfam family "Bacterial small subunit ribosomal RNA", at positions 71 to 518 of the family's 1533-position model. The record is from RNAcentral.